UGUAAAUAAAGCGAAUUUUUUAGUUACCUUAUUUAUUUUUAUUUAUUUGUAUACUUAGAUCAAUAAUCAAAUUAAUAGUAAUAUAUUUUUACAUGCUCGAAUGCUCUGUAAGAAAAUCGUUAUAAGGUAUUGGCAUCAAAAUACGAGUAAAAUGCCUCCAGAGAAGUUAUUACUGUUCGUUCCACCGAGAAGCUUUCAGUUCCUGAAGGUGAUCGAAGUUUCAUAAAAAAAAAAAAAAAAGAGAACAGAGAACAUUCGUUAUUUCCAUUGAGAAAUAUGUAUGAAAAGGAACUCGGAUGUAAAGCUAUAGGCUACGAAAACUGCUAUUUUAUUCCGAGACCAUUGAGAAAUUGCUUAUCAGACAGCCCAAUGUUCUUUCGAGAAUUGUUGGCAAAAGAAUUGAAUUUAGUUAAGUGCCGAAUUUUCAGCUUUGUUCAACUUGUGCCCAUUUCGAAUAAUAAUAAUCUGACAAGGGAAAAGGAACGUAAACUGAAAAGUUUCUCUCUCUAUUGGAGUGAAAACAUUAAUCAAAGAUAAUAAAGUCCUUUUGGGAUUAUUUAUAACUUAUACACUGUUAUCUAUAUGCAAAAAAAUAAAAUAAAAUAAAAUAUUUCUAUUUAAGAACGUUAAUAAUAACAAUUGUCUAAACGGGAGAAUUCACGCUACGUUAUUUAACGUAAAAAAAAAAAAAAAAACUAACCUUUCUGAAACACGCCCCUUCGACGAUUGAAUGGAUAAGUAAGUUUCAUUCAUAAAUUCGGCUCGAGACGUGAAUUAGCGCACGAGACACGAGCCAUACCGAUACAUUCAUUAUUAUGUCAUUUAUUCGAAACUAUUUCCUCAUUCACAGAACUGUUUCGUUCCGGGAAUUUUGUAUUUUUAGGAAAUUAACGGUUUGUUCAUCAAAAAAAAAAAUUUUCAUUAAAUAUCGAAACGGAUAUUAUACGAAAUAAUUUAAUAUUGUUUAUUAACUCGUCCGAAAACGAUUUUAAUUAUUUUUAAAGAUUAAAAACUCGGAGGGUAAAGAAUAUAAGUUACCGUAUCUCGAAAGUCAAU
Molecule: long non-coding RNA, 1056 nt
Filed under: Androctonus crassicauda
Lineage: Eukaryota; Metazoa; Arthropoda; Arachnida; Scorpiones; Buthidae
Source: RNAcentral